Molecule: long non-coding RNA, 1508 nt
Filed under: Zonotrichia albicollis (white-throated sparrow)
Lineage: Eukaryota; Metazoa; Chordata; Aves; Passeriformes; Passerellidae
Description: lncRNA (ENSZALG00000017006.1)
Source: RNAcentral
CCACAUGGUGUUCCUUGGCAUCCUCGCUAGCACAGAGCUUGCAGCAGCUCUAGCUUUGCUUGUCUCUGCACACAGUGAGAAAAACGCCUGCAUGGAAUGAGCCAACACACGAAUGUCCUGCCACCUGGCCGGAGGCUGCCUGCAAGGCACUGCUAGAGAGAUGCCAGAGCUUCCACACUGUCCUACUGGCUUUUCCCAUCAGGCAGCUCAUCGCACGGAGGAAUCACGCUGGUUUGCCUGCUCUCGUCUGCUGUCCCCUGCAGUUUGGCAGAAGCAUCCUCUGAAGAGACCUAGCGAGAGAAAGAUCCAUCAGAAUUUGCUGUGGUACAGCCUGCCAUUUUUGACUCAGGCUUCAUGGCAGAAGACUAUUAAGACAGAAAAAUUGAUAAGGAUUCUCCUGACACUUCUGAAACAUGGAGGACAUGAGUGUGUGACAGGGGCAGUUCUUUAAUCUGCAAGCAACUUUCCUGAGAUACAGGGGCAGUGCAUCCUCAUGCACGCUAGAAAUGGAUUAAUAUCCUUGAGAUUCAUCUGCUGCACCUGCAGUGACCUUCUUCUGCUUUCACACAGGGCUAUGCCACUGGCACACAAGAAACAGUCUCAUCAUCACUGCAGUGUGUUCUUCUGGGUUUUGGGGAUUUUUGACUGUCUUAUAUGCUCCUUCUGCCACAGGUAGAACAGAGCUAAACUCUCAUCCUGGCUCCUGUCUGAAAAGCCCUGGGAAGUCUCGUAUUAUUCCUUGUUUCUCUGAUGAAGACCAAGAGAAUUUUCCCCUCUGGAGAUGGCAACAUUUCUUACAUGCAGAAAUUUGAGGAAGCUGCUGAUAACCCUCAACAUCCUCCAUACACCUUUCCUUCUUCUGAUCAUUCAGCUACCCAGAGUAUGGUGAAACAGAUCCAUAUUCCUUCUCAAUUCGACUGACUAGAAGUGUGAAUGGGAUACUCAUAAUUAUCAGAGCGGUGGAGCAGCACUGAAGUCAAUGAACACAGAAGUUGCAUUGCCCACUUCAGAAAGUAGCUAAUACCCUACUGCCAGGGAUUUUUCAGCAAUAUUCACAUUAGUUAAUUCAACCCAACAUCAUUAAGUCAUCUUGAAACAUCACUGUGAAAUGCUUUUUCCUUUUAAGAAAGUCCAAAUCCUUCCAGGGCCCAAAAGGAGAUGCACACAGAUCUCCCCCAGUAAGACAGCACAACCCAACUGCACAACCCAAAGUUUUCUGCAACAGUGCUUUCUGCACAUAUUUCUUUUAGUUUGUCCCAGCUCCGAAGAUGGGUCCCUACAUGGGCUGCUGCAGAAGCAACUCUUGAAGAAUUGUCUGCUGACUUUACUCUCAGGAAUGCAGCUCUGGAGUCAAUGCAUGAAUAUCAAUGUAUUUGCAGCAGGUUGAUGAGGUUAAGCAUCAGUGUACUUCCACACUGAAAGCACUUGGGAAAUUUCUGUCACUGGCUAUCAAAAAAAACAGAAGGAAAUGGAAUAAAACAAAGAGAAUUAUGUGGAUUCUUUAACUG